This 253-nucleotide ribosomal RNA is filed under the name uncultured bacterium. Its description in RNAcentral is "partial 16S ribosomal RNA". It matches the Rfam family "Bacterial small subunit ribosomal RNA", at positions 524 to 776 of the family's 1533-position model. The record is from RNAcentral.
UACGUAGGGUGCAAGCGUUGUCCGGAAUUAUUGGGCGUAAAGAGCUCGUAGGCGGUUUGUCGCGUCGAAUGUGAAAUCUCGGGGCUCAACCCCGAGCGGUCGUGAGAAACUGGCAGGCUAGAGUGCGGGAGAGGAGAGUGGAAUUCCUGGUGUAGCGGUGAAAUGCGCAGAUAUCAGGAAGAACACCCGUGGCGAAGGCGGCUCUCUGGAACGCAACUGACGCUGAGACGCGAAAGCGUGGGGAGCGAACAGG